CAAGUGAACAGGAGGCUGCUUCUCCUGAGGAGGUCCGCCCCCAGUACACACCCUUGCCUUCUGGAUCCAGAGAGCUCACCAGUCACCGAGGUAUCUUGGGGAAAGGUCGUUAUUUUUACUAUGGAAGAAACUCAGAGGGUAACAGGUUCAUCCGAGAUGACCAGCUCUGAAGCUAAAUUCUGCACACGUUAGCCGAUUUCAUGACAAUAAAAUAGAAAAGCAAGAAAAACCA
Long non-coding RNA from Rattus rattus (black rat), 232 nucleotides. RefSeq lists it as uncharacterized. The record is from RefSeq and is a predicted model, not a curated record. Lineage: Eukaryota; Metazoa; Chordata; Mammalia; Rodentia; Muridae. The transcript is spliced from 2 exons.